GCCAAGUUAGUAAGGGCGCACGGUGGAUGCCUUGGCACCAGGAGCCGAUGAAGGACGUGGGAGGCUGCGAUAUGCCUCGGGGAGCUGUCAACCGAGCUGUGAUCCGAGGAUUUCCGAAUGGGGAAACCCGGCAGGGCUUUAAAUCCUGUCACCCAUGCCUGAACACAUAGGGCAUGUGGAGGGAACGCGGGGAAGUGAAACAUCUCAUUACCCGCAGGAAGAGAAAACAACCGUGAUUCCGCGAGUAGUGGUGAGCGAAAGCGGAUGAGGCUAAACCAGUGUCGUGUGAUAGCCGGCAGGCGUUGCGAUGCUGGGGUUGUGGGAUCGUCCGGACGGGACUGCCGUUCCGUCAGGGAGUCAGAAAGAGCGCUGUUAGGCGAAGGUCAUGCGAAUGGACCGCCAUAGAGGGUAAUAGCCCUGUAGCUGAAAACAGUGUUCCUCCCGGACGUGUUCCCAAGUAGCACGGAGCCCGUGAAAUUCCGUGUGAAUCUGGCGGGACCACCCGCUAAGCCUAAAUACUCCCUGGUGACCGAUAGCGGACUAGUACCGUGAGGGAAAGGUGAAAAGUACCCCGGGAGGGGAGUGAAAUAGUACCUGAAACCGUGUGCCUACAAUCCGUGGGAGCUGGACUUCGGUCUGGUGACCGCGUGCCUUUUGAAGAAUGAGCCUGCGAGUUUGCGAUGUGUGGCGAGGUUAACCCGUGUGGGGUAGCCGUAGCGAAAGCGAGUCCGAACAGGGCGUCUGAGUCGCAUGUCCAAGACCCGAAGCCGAGUGAUCUACCCAUGGCCAGGUUGAAGCGCGGGUAAGACCGUGUGGAGGACCGAACCCACCAGGGUUGAAAACCUGGGGGAUGAGCUGUGGGUAGGGGUGAAAGGCCAAUCAAACUCGGUGAUAGCUGGUUCUCCCCGAAAUGCAUUUAGGUGCAGCGUCGCAUGUUUCUUGCCGGAGGUAGAGCACUGGAUGGCCUAGGGGGCCCACAAGCUUACUGAAGUCAGCCAAACUCCGAAUGCCGGUAAGUGAAGUGCGGCAGUGAGACUGCGGGGGAUAAGCUUCGUAGUCGAGAGGGAAACAGCCCAGAUCGCCAGCUAAGGCCCCUAAGCGUGCGCUAAGUGGAAAAGGAUGUGGAGUCGCAUAGACAACCAGGAGGUUGGCUUAGAAGCAGCCACCCUUGAAAGAGUGCGUAAUAGCUCACUGGUCAAGUGAUUCCGCGCCGACAAUGUAGCGGGGCUCAAGCGCACCGCCGAAGCUGCGGCAUACGCAUGUUAGCCAGGCAUCUUUGCGGGUGUCCAGGUGUGUGUAUGGGUAGGGGAGCGUCGUGUGGCGUGUGAAGCGGCGGGGUGACCUAGUCGUGGAUGCCAUACGAGUGAGAAUGCAGGCAUGAGUAGCGAAUGACGGGUGAGAAACCCGUCCGCCGGAUGACCAAGGGUUCCUGGGGCAGGCUAAUCCGCCCAGGGUGAGUCGGGACCUAAGGCGAGGCCGACAGGCGUAGUCGAUGGACAACGGGUUGAUAUUCCCGUACCGGCGCUGACGCGCCCA
Molecule: ribosomal RNA, 1536 nt
Filed under: uncultured Frankia sp.
Lineage: Bacteria; Bacillati; Actinomycetota; Actinomycetes; Frankiales; Frankiaceae
Description: bacterial LSU rRNA
Rfam family: Bacterial large subunit ribosomal RNA
Source: RNAcentral